RNAcentral lists this ribosomal RNA (279 nucleotides) under uncultured bacterium. RNAcentral's name for it is "partial 16S ribosomal RNA". It matches the Rfam family "Bacterial small subunit ribosomal RNA", at positions 506 to 784 of the family's 1533-position model. The record is from RNAcentral.
UGCCAGCCGCCGCGGUAAUACGAAGGGGGCAAGCGUUGUUCGGAUUUACUGGGCGUAAAGGGCACGCAGGCGGACUAAUAAGUCGACUGUGAAAUCUGUGGGCUCAACCUACAGCCUGCAGUCGAAACUAUUAAUCUUGAGUACGGAAGAGGAGAGCGGAAUCAGAGGUGUAGCGGUGAAAUGCGUAGAUAUCUCUGAGAACACCGGUGGCGAAGGCGGCUCUCUGGUCUGAUACUGACGCUGAGGUGCGAAAGCUAGGGGAGCGAACGGGAUUAGAUA